AGUUAGAACCAUUCUCCUCUUAUUGUAACAUAUAGAAAGACAUACUCACAAAGACUGAUCUCCUCUAACGUGCAAUGUAACCAACUAACCACUACCCCUUGACCAGCUGACGCCAGCAACGGCGUCGGAGCACCGGUAACAUGCAAGGAUAACCCCCACACCCUUUUUCUCUCUCCCCAGUUCUCUCUACCCUCUUCUCUUUCCUAUUCCCUGUACCCCUCCAUCGUGCGAACCACUCGUUGCUUUCGCUGGCGGUCAAGGUCUCCAUCAGCUCGACUCCGGCGACAUAGGCAGCGCGCAGCUCUAGUCACAAAUGACCAAUUUGGCGAGUCUAUUAACGGUUCUGCUAGUUCCAACCAGAUCUGAUUCUGAUAAGAUCUGAUUCCGGCGGCACUCCGAUGAAGCUCCGGCCAUAAUAUCCUGGCAGGAUCCAACAUACCACACAGGAAAAGAGGACUUGGUAUACAAGCGUAACCCGGUG
Molecule: long non-coding RNA, 481 nt
Filed under: Capsicum annuum
Lineage: Eukaryota; Viridiplantae; Streptophyta; Magnoliopsida; Solanales; Solanaceae
Description: long non-coding RNA (CANN_LNC010728)
Source: RNAcentral